UGGGGAAUAUUGCACAAUGGGCGAAAGCCUGAUGCAGCGACGCCGCGUGAGGGAUGACGGCCUUCGGGUUGUAAACCUCUUUCGACAGGGACGAAGCGCAAGUGACGGUACCUGUAGAAGAAGCACCGGCCAACUACGUGCCAGCAGCCGCGGUAAUACGUAGGGUGCGAGCGUUGUCCGGAAUUACUGGGCGUAAAGAGCUUGUAGGCGGUUUGUCGCGUCGUCUGUGAAAACUCACAGCUCAACUGUGAGCUUGCAGGCGAUACGGGCAGACUUGAGUACUGCAGGGGAGACUGGAAUUCCUGGUGUAGCGGUGAAAUGCGCAGAUAUCAGGAGGAACACCGGUGGCGAAGGCGGGUCUCUGGGCAGUAACUGACGCUGAGAAGCGAAAGCGUGGGUAGCGAACAGGAUUAGAUACCCUGGUAGUCCACGCCGUANCGGUGGGUACUAGGUGUGGGUUUCCUUCCACGGGAUCCGUGCCGUAGCNACGCAUUAANUACCCCGCCUGGGGAGUACGGCCGCAAGGCU
RNAcentral lists this ribosomal RNA (528 nucleotides) under uncultured bacterium. Its description in RNAcentral is "bacterial SSU rRNA". It matches the Rfam family "Bacterial small subunit ribosomal RNA", at positions 355 to 895 of the family's 1533-position model. The record is from RNAcentral.